GGUAUUCUGUGACUCAACAGUCUGAAUUAUAUAGAGAAUAUUACACUAUCUACAGUUUAUUUCGAGUGUUGAAGACUUGAAGAGAAUAUUGCUCACAAGUGAGCGCAAUUCUGUUUAUUAUAUGAACAAAUUAUAAGCAAACGACAAUUCUUAAUGUUAAUUCGUUUACAUCCAAUUUAAUACUUCCAAGUUCCAACAAAGUGAAAGCCUCGUGCUGUGUAACUGAAAUUUGGACUGCGAUUAACAGAAGUUUUAAAAAAAAAAGCCAAAACAUUGGAGAAUGAGGAUGAAUCAUGAACUCAUACUUGGUAUGUAUAGAG
Dendronephthya gigantea is the source of this 320-nucleotide long non-coding RNA. RefSeq lists it as uncharacterized. Lineage: Eukaryota; Metazoa; Cnidaria; Anthozoa; Malacalcyonacea; Nephtheidae. The record is from RefSeq and is a predicted model, not a curated record. The transcript has 3 exons.